This 220-nucleotide ribosomal RNA is filed under the name Candidatus Mediterraneibacter intestinipullorum. RNAcentral's name for it is "partial 16S ribosomal RNA". It matches the Rfam family "Bacterial small subunit ribosomal RNA", at positions 1 to 199 of the family's 1533-position model. The record is from RNAcentral. Lineage: Bacteria; Bacillati; Bacillota; Clostridia; Lachnospirales; Lachnospiraceae.
UUUAACGAGAGUUUGAUCCUGGCUCAGGAUGAACGCUGGCGGCGUGCCUAACACAUGCAAGUCGAACGAAGCGCUUUACUUUGAUUUCUUCGGAUUGAAAAGUUUUGUGACUGAGUGGCGGACGGGUGAGUAACGCGUGGGUAACCUGCCUCACACAGGGGGAUAACAGUUAGAAAUGACUGCUAAUACCGCAUAAGACCCCGGCACCGCAUGGUGCAGA